GAUUAGUUUUAGGAUUUGCAAACUUGACUUGAACAUUAAUUGGCCAUCUGAAAUGAUGUUAGUUUUCUCUUUUGCGCACUGUUCAGUAACUACAGUUUGUCCUCAACGUCUUGUAAAAUCCAACUCGGUAAAUAUUAAUCUAUAAAUCUAGAUUUUUGUACAAAGUUCUUGGUAAUUGCUUUACUUCAACAGAUGCAGAGUGCCUGGCCUUUAGGGAGUGGCUGGCUUUUGCACAGGUCUUUGGUUUGCUAAAUGUGAUUCCCGUCAAGUUUUUUUGAUGAUAUUCGUUCUGAAUGUUCAUUGUCAGCUAAUACCUUAACUGUUUCCGAUAUUAUUGCCAUAUUGCUCGUUGCAGCAAUCAACAUUAUCCAUAUAAUUACUUGGUUUUCAGGAAAAAAAAAAAAAGGCGAAUGAUAUGAUUAUUCAUUAUGCAAUCUGUAUAUUGUCUAUAGAGAACUCAAAGGGCCAAGGAUGCCCGUAUAUGGUCUCUGAAGUUUAUAUUUAUUGAUACUUGUACUUAUGUUCCGUGACACUGAAUUGAAGUAAUCAAAGUUCGAUUUAUGACUUGAACGGCUCUUUUCUCUUCAUCUAUGCAGCGCCAUCUAGUGAUUCAGUUGCUUCAGAUUUCGUAUAAUAGGAAUCAAUAAAGCAUAAGAGAUGGGCUUCAAUCAAAUUCUCCAAACAGGUUCUUGCUUGUAUUGGUUGUCGAGGGAUGUCAAGUGGAUGGAAUGACAGAUGACACACCUCCAAUUUCUUAAAAGAUGUUGAGCCCAAGGAAACCGGAAGUUAAAAGUGGACAACAUCAUAAAUGUAAGUUUUCGCUCAGCAAUUUUGCUUUUAUUGCAAAGUUUCUUCCUGGUCAACAAUAUAUUACUCAUUGGCACCAGUGACUUCAAGUUCUUCUGCAUAUUGCUUUACUCUUUUUUAGUCUCCAGGUAAAAGUUUUGACUCUACGUAAUAUACAAAGAGCACGCUGAACAAAUUGAUUUUGCCCAGUCCCCUUGUGAGAUGCUGCAAAAUCAAGAGCAAGAUAUUAGACUUCAUUUAUAAAGAUAGCCACUUUGUAGCUUGUGUCUUCCUUGGACUCUGUAUCUUUUUAAGUAGGCUUGGAAGUGUCUCAUUUGUCUUUCAAUCCACUUGAUAUCCUUCGACAACUAAUAUCAACAAGAGCCUGUUUAGACAAUUUGAUUGGAACCACUCUCUAGUGCUUUGUUGAUGACUUUUGUAGCUCCUACUAUGCUCGCAUGUUUAAGGGUGUUGUAUUUAACUUUCUUGUUAUGAUGUUCAAGAUUUUACUGUAACACCUUGAAACUUUUGGACAAUAUUCUCUCGUUCUUGGAGUUAAAUUUGUACUUUCUGGAAGUUCAGUAGAUGGAACAAUGUUGGUUUGAUUUUCAAUUUUAA
Molecule: long non-coding RNA, 1404 nt
Filed under: Olea europaea subsp. europaea
Lineage: Eukaryota; Viridiplantae; Streptophyta; Magnoliopsida; Lamiales; Oleaceae
Source: RNAcentral